Molecule: microRNA precursor, 87 nt
Organism: Nomascus leucogenys (northern white-cheeked gibbon)
Lineage: Eukaryota; Metazoa; Chordata; Mammalia; Primates; Hylobatidae
Source: Ensembl
AGCUGGACAAGUACUGGUCUCAGCAGAUUGGAGAGAGCACUACAGUGGUCACCACGCAGUCCGCUGAGGUUGGAGCUGUUGAGAUGA